RNAcentral lists this ribosomal RNA (500 nucleotides) under uncultured bacterium. Its description in RNAcentral is "partial 16S ribosomal RNA". It matches the Rfam family "Bacterial small subunit ribosomal RNA", at positions 29 to 523 of the family's 1533-position model. The record is from RNAcentral.
AUUGAACGCUGGCGGCAUGCCUUACACAUGCAAGUCGAACGGCAGCACGGGAGCAAUCCUGGUGGCGAGUGGCGAACGGGUGAGUAAAGUAUCGGAACGUGCCCAGUCGUGGGGGAUAACGUAGCGAAAGUUACGCUAAUACCGCAUACGAUCUAUGGAUGAAAGCGGGGGAUCGCAAGACCUCGCGCGAUUGGAGCGGCCGAUAUCAGAUUAGGUAGUUGGUGGGAUAAAAGCUUACCAAGCCGACGAUCUGUAGCUGGUCGGAGAGGAAGAACAGCCACACGGGGACUGAGACACGGCCCAGACUCCUACGGGAGGGAGCAGUGGGGAAUUUUGGACAAUGGGCGAAAGCCUGAUCAAGCAAUGCCGCGUGCAGGAUGAAGGCCUUCGGGUUGUAAACUGCUUUUGUACGGAACGAAAAAGUCUACUCUAAUACAGGAGGCCCAUGACGGUACCGUAAGAAUAAGCACCGGCUAACUACGUGCCAGCAGCCGCCGUAA